AAAAAUCAACAUACAAUCGCAGAUCUAGCAAGAGGUCAGUGAAAACUCUCCAGAUCUGAGGUCUCCGUAGAACAAGACUUUAACCCCUCAAAUCUCCAUCAUUUUCCACGAAAUUUCAGUAUGUUGUAGUUCAAGAUGUUAGAUACAACUCUCAUGAAGAAAUCGAAGCCAAAAUCGGACUCUAAACACACAUGCAAGCUCAAACAAGUUACUGACUCACA
Molecule: long non-coding RNA, 221 nt
Filed under: Eucalyptus grandis
Lineage: Eukaryota; Viridiplantae; Streptophyta; Magnoliopsida; Myrtales; Myrtaceae
Description: long non-coding RNA (EGRA_LNC005837)
Source: RNAcentral